UAAUACGUAGGGGGCAAGCGUUGUCCGGAUUUACUGGGUGUAAAGGGCGCGCAGGUGGGUUUGUAAGUCAGAGGUGAAAGCCUGGAGCUCAACUCCAGAACUGCCUUUGAAACUACAAAUCUUGAGUGCAGAAGAGAGAAGCGGAAUUCCAGGUGUAGUAGUGAAAUACGUAGAUAUCUGGAAGAACACCAGUUGCGAAGGCGGCUUCUUGGUCUGUCACUGACGCUGAGGCGCGAAAGCGUGGGGAGCAAACAGGAUUAGAGACCCUGGUAGUCCACGCUGUAAACGAUGAAUACUAGAUGUCGGGUUUUUACUCGGUGUCGCAGCUAACGCAUUAAGUAUUCCACCUGGGAAGUACGAUCGCAAGGUUGAAACUCAAAUGAAUUGACGG
This 391-nucleotide ribosomal RNA is filed under the name bacterium enrichment culture. Its description in RNAcentral is "bacterial SSU rRNA". It matches the Rfam family "Bacterial small subunit ribosomal RNA", at positions 521 to 916 of the family's 1533-position model. The record is from RNAcentral.